UGGGGAAUUUUGGACAAUGGGCGCAAGCCUUAUCCAGCCAUGCCGCGUGCAGGAUGAAGGCCCUCGGGUUGUAAACUGCUUUUGUACGGAACGAAAAGCCUCUUUCUAAUAAAGAGGGGUGAUGACGGUACCGUAAGAAUAAGCACCGGCUAACUACGUGCCAGCAGCCGCGGUAAUACGUAGGGUGCAAGCGUGAAUCGGAAUUACUGGGCGUAAAGCGUGCGCAGGCGGUCUUGCAAGACAGUGGUGAAAUCCCCGGGCUCAACCUGGGAACUGCCAUUGUGACUGCAAGGCUGGAGUACGGCAGAGGGGGAUGGAAUUCCGCGUGUAGCAGUGAAAUGCGUAGAUAUGCGGAGGAACACCGAUGGCGAAGGCAGUCCCCUGAGCCUGUACUGACGCUCAUGCACGAAAGCGUGGGGAGCAAACA
Molecule: ribosomal RNA, 427 nt
Filed under: uncultured bacterium
Lineage: Bacteria
Description: bacterial SSU rRNA
Rfam family: Bacterial small subunit ribosomal RNA
Source: RNAcentral